GUACUUGCUUGGGCAGCACAUAUACUAAAAUUAGAAUGAUACGGAGAAGAUUCAUAUGGCCCCCAGGUGAGGGUGAUGCCCAAAUUCAUGAAGCAUUCCAUAUUAAA
Small nuclear RNA from Ictidomys tridecemlineatus (thirteen-lined ground squirrel), 107 nucleotides. Lineage: Eukaryota; Metazoa; Chordata; Mammalia; Rodentia; Sciuridae. The record is from Ensembl.